This 421-nucleotide ribosomal RNA is filed under the name uncultured bacterium. RNAcentral describes it as "bacterial SSU rRNA". It matches the Rfam family "Bacterial small subunit ribosomal RNA", at positions 356 to 774 of the family's 1533-position model. The record is from RNAcentral.
GAGGAAUAUUGGUCAAUGGGGGCAACCCUGAACCAGCCAAGUCGCGUGAAGGAUGAAGGUCUUAUGGAUUGUAAACUUCUUUUAUACAGGAAUAAAAGACAUUACGUGUAAUGUAUUGCAUGUACUGUACGAAUAAGCAUCGGCUAACUCCGUGCCAGCAGCCGCGGUAAUACGGAGGAUGCAAGCGUUAUCCGGAUUUAUUGGGUUUAAAGGGUGCGCAGGCGGGAUUUUAAGUCAGCGGUGAAAUUUUCAGGCCCAACCUGAACACUGCCGUUGAAACUGGGAUUCUUGAGUAUGGAUGAAGUAGGCGGAAUUCGUUGUGUAGCGGUGACAUGCUUAGAUAUAACGAGGAACUCCGAUUUCGUAGGCAGCUUACUAAGCCAUAACUGACGCUCAAGCACGAAAGCGUGGGGAUCAAACA